Molecule: long non-coding RNA, 1749 nt
Filed under: Rosa chinensis
Lineage: Eukaryota; Viridiplantae; Streptophyta; Magnoliopsida; Rosales; Rosaceae
Description: sRNA RchiOBHm_Chr5g0035281
Source: RNAcentral
GAUAAAUUUUGCUGCACCCUUCUCUCCAAAUUCUGAAUUGAAAGCUCCAUCGUGUUCUUCUCUCCGUUGGGUUGGGUAGUUUGAAUCAACGACUCCAUCGGUUAUCGACUCCAACUCCGUCGGUUAUCGACUCCGACUCCAACUCAUAUCGACUUCUCCUCUGUUCCUAUUGGCUUCUUCUUCUUCUUCUCCAACGAAUUACUUGAUUAGGGACCCUUGGACUCAUGGAGAGUGAGCAACACAACUAAGUUGUAAUGACAUGCUAUAGUAGAGACAUUGCUACACAGUUUGUUAUUCUUCUAGUAUAUUUGAUUGGUGGAAUAGUGAUCAGUGUCUUUAUUGGAAGGGGUUUGGUGACGUUAAACUUCUUGCAGUAGAAAAUGGAAGCAAAUUUUCAUUAUGGACUUGUGCGCGUUCGAGAAAAUGUUGAAUCGAUAGCUUUCUAUAGUGCAAUUGUUGAUAGCUUCAAGAAAUCUUGAGUUUUUCACCAGCGGAAAUCUUGAGUUUUUCACCAGUGGAUACUGCUAUCUUAUUCAAAUUCUUCAUGCUGCUGUCGUUGCUCCUUGUACCUCUCUAGAAAAAUUGAGCUUGGUGUCAUUAAUCAGUCAGUAUCGGCUUUUAAUCAUAUCCUGGGGGACUUCUCCCUCACCGUGUACCAAUUUCAGUCUAUAAGCGCAUUUUCAGUAGUAAUUGAUCGACUUGAUGAAUUUGAUGAUUAUUUGGAUAUCAGCUCUCAACACCAUUCUGACCCUGCAAAAGGGAUAAGUCUUACGUAUAGUAAUGUUAAAACUUUAGUUGAACUGGAGCCAAAUGGAUCCAUACCCAUAGAUAAGCAACAAAAGCUACUGGACAUAGAGAAUUUGACUGUGCAAACACCAAGUAGCACUACGUUGGUUAGGGAUUUAUCAUUGGUAAUCAACAAUAAUGAGAAUCUAUUGGUGACAGGACCUAGCGGGAGUGGUAAGACUUAUUUGUUAAGAAUUUUGGCUGGUCUUUGGAGUGUUGGAAGAGGAAAGAUUACAUUCUAUGUGGAAGAUGAAGAAGAGCUUGUACCAUCCAAUUCUCCAGGUGUAGGUCCUCUUGGUACUGCUAAUGAUAAAUAUGGGGAACAUGAAAGACCCUCAAAUAGGAGUUAUAAGGGCAUAUUUUUUGUUCCUGUGAAGCGGAAAGACGAGCAAUGCCACCUGCAGAUGAAUUGAUGGCUGUGAAGUCUACUACAGCUCAGCAAAAUGAGGAGUUAGAGACGGUCAAAGCUGGUGCAGCUUAACAAAAUGAAGAGUUAGAGGCAGUGAAGGUUAGAGCCGCUCAACAAAAUGAAGAGUUGGAGGCACUAAAGGCAAGACAAAAUCAGACUGACACACUUUUACUCAAAUUAAUGGCGUAGUUGUCCUCCCAAAAAAGAAGGUGCAGCAUUGAAAAAAUUGGCAGAUGAAAAGGGCAUCAAGCAACAUACAUAUCAUUGAAGGCUUAUUGAACUUCUAGAAAGACUUGUAUGUAUUUCUUUUUAUUAUGAAAUGGCUAUCAAGGAUGGAUAUUGAUAUUUGUAUAUUUUGGAUUUAGAAAGUUAGUAUUUCAAGAUAGAGGUUGAUGUUUAUUAUUGGACUGAUAUAAUCAACCCUUGUUAAGCAGCAAUUUUACAGUACAUUUUCAUAUGGUGGUUUUGGAAUAUGCAAGGCUACUAUGAUCCGUUUAUUGCAUAAAGAAUUGACCGUUGUUCACAUAUUUGAUUUGUAGUGACAUUGAAUGACC